Molecule: ribosomal RNA, 1658 nt
Filed under: Massilia sp. YIM B02443
Lineage: Bacteria; Pseudomonadati; Pseudomonadota; Betaproteobacteria; Burkholderiales; Oxalobacteraceae
Description: bacterial SSU rRNA
Rfam family: Bacterial small subunit ribosomal RNA
Source: RNAcentral
AACUGAAGAGUUUGAUCCUGGCUCAGAUUGAACGCUGGCGGCAUGCUUUACACAUGCAAGUCGAACGGUAACAGGGAGCUUGCUCCGCUGACGAGUGGCGAACGGGUGAGUAAUAUAUCGGAACGUACCCAAGAGUGGGGGAUAACGUAGCGAAAGUUACGCUAAUACCGCAUACGAUCUAUGGAUGAAAGCAGGGGAUCUUCGGACCUUGUGCUCCUGGAGCGGCCGAUAUCUGAUUAGCUAGUUGGUGAGGUAAAGGCUCACCAAGGCGACGAUCAGUAGCUGGUCUGAGAGGACGACCAGCCACACUGGAACUGAGACACGGUCCAGACUCCUACGGGAGGCAGCAGUGGGGAAUUUUGGACAAUGGGCGCAAGCCUGAUCCAGCAAUGCCGCGUGAGUGAAGAANGUCUGAGAGGACGACCAGCCACACUGGAACUGAGACACGGUCCAGACUCCUACGGGAGGCAGCAGUGGGGAAUUUUGGACAAUGGGCGCAAGCCUGAUCCAGCAAUGCCGCGUGAGUGAAGAAGGCCUUCGGGUUGUAAAGCUCUUUUGUCAGGGAAGAAACGGCUGUGGCUAAUAUCCACGGCUAAUGACGGUACCUGAAGAAUAAGCACCGGCUAACUACGUGCCAGCAGCCGCGGUAAUACGUAGGGUGCAAGCGUUAAUCGGAAUUACUGGGCGUAAAGCGUGCGCAGGCGGUUUUGUAAGUCUGUCGUGAAAUCCCCGGGCUCAACCUGGGAAUUGCGAUGGAGACUGCAAGGCUAGAAUCUGGCAGAGGGGGGUAGAAUUCCACGUGUAGCAGUGAAAUGCGUAGAGAUGUGGAGGAACACCGAUGGCGAAGGCAGCCCCCUGGGUCAAGAUUGACGCUCAUGCACGAAAGCGUGGGGAGCAAACAGGAUUAGAUACCCUGGUAGUCCACGCCCUAAACGAUGUCUACUAGUUGUCGGGUUUUAAUUAACUUGGUAACGCAGCUAACGCGUGAAGUAGACCGCCUGGGGAGUACGGUCGCAAGAUUAAAACUCAAAGGAAUUGACGGGGACCCGCACAAGCGGUGGAUGAUGUGGAUUAAUUCGAUGCAACGCGAAAAACCUUACCUACCCUUGACAUGUCAGGAAUGCCGAAGAGAUUUGGCAGUGCCCGAAAGGGAACCUGAACACAGGUGCUGCAUGGCUGUCGUCAGCUCGUGUCGUGAGAUGUUGGGUUAAGUCCCGCAACGAGCGCAACCCUUGUCAUUAGUUGCUACAUUUAGUUGAGCACUCUAAUGAGACUGCCGGUGACAAACCGGAGGAAGGUGGGGAUGACGUCAAGUCCUCAUGGCCCUUAUGGGUAGGGCUUCACACGUCAUACAAUGGUACAUACAGAGGGCCGCCAACCCGCGAGGGGGAGCUAAUCCCAGAAAGUGUAUCGUAGUCCGGAUCGUAGUCUGCAACUCGACUACGUGAAGUUGGAAUCGCUAGUAAUCGCGGAUCAGCAUGUCGCGGUGAAUACGUUCCCGGGUCUUGUACACACCGCCCGUCACACCAUGGGAGCGGGUUUUACCAGAAGUAGGUAGCUUAACCGCAAGGAGGGCGCUUACCACGGUAGGAUUCGUGACUGGGGUGAAGUCGUAACAAGGUAGCCGUAUCGGAAGGUGCGGCUGGAUCACCUCCUUU